Molecule: long non-coding RNA, 1414 nt
Filed under: Piliocolobus tephrosceles (Ugandan red Colobus)
Lineage: Eukaryota; Metazoa; Chordata; Mammalia; Primates; Cercopithecidae
Description: lncRNA (ENSPTEG00000018080.1)
Source: RNAcentral
CAAGAAUCAAGCCCAAGCAGGAAAAGAAAGACAACUAUGAUGGCAUUAUCAGAGAGCCUGAAACCUUGGGGAAGCAGUCACUGGAGAAAGGACAGAAAAGCUUCAAGUACUUUCCUUAGUUAACCAGUACCCUGCUAUGGAGACUUUUACAAUACUUCUGUGGGUGCAGGCAAUGUUGUAAGAUGGGAGGGCUUAUAGCACAGUCUAGAGGCAGAACUGGCAUGUCCUCAUCUACCACAGACCAAAAGCCCAGAUAAAAGUCUGCAAAUGGACCAAGAUUGGGGUCAGAAACAUAGAGCAAGGUGCUUGUUUUUGACACCUCUUAAAGAGGCCCUGAGGUCCUUGAGAGAAUUCACCUGAUAAAGAAGCAAAUGCUGCUGCUCUGUCUUUGGUUUAGAAGAGGACAACAUGGGCUGAGUCCUGCUAUUGGUAAUGGAUCUGCCAAGCUCCAUCCCUCCCCUAACUGGAACCCUGGCAAUCCACAUGCGAUGCUGCAAUUAACAAGCCCUGGGAGAACAGAGCUCCAUUAUGACAAGUUCAGCUGUGGGAAAGCAACCAACAAAACACCACUUCUGAGAAAGGGGAAGCGAUGUCAGGGAGUGUCAUCUGCUGACGUUUGUUCCCACUCUUAACUCCCCUCCCACUCACAGAACUAGCAGCUUUCCUGUCCUUUGACCUCUGAACUCCAAAAGAAUGGCAAGGGCCGGUGGAAUAGGAGUUUCUGAGGGUCCGGUGUCUAUGGCAUGUAUUUGACAGCUCUGAUGAAAAGUAUGAGCUGGGAAUUAGACUUUCCCUAGCAGAGAUAUUUGUGGAUAAAGAACCUGCUUAAAACGGUGAGGCAGUCAGAGUGUCAGAGGACUGGGAGACUGAGACUGACAUGUAGGCAACAGCAGCAGAAACUGGGGACCUGUAGCUGGGAAAAGAGACGAGUUGGAGGCUACAAAAUAGGUAUCUUCACACAAGAAAAGGAAUGUUGUCUGCGAAGGGACAAUUUAUCAAGGUAACAGCACCGGAACUUUGUGCAGAAUCUAGCCAUCCAUCCAUCCGUGCAUCCAUUCAUCCAUCCGUCAUCUAUGCAGCAGUUUUAUAGCUAACUAUGGAAAAACGAGCUUUGUGAUAUGUCAUUUCUAGCAACAGCCAGCAGGUGGGUAAAAGUUUUAGGCAUGUAAAGGACCCCCCAGAUCACACUGCUUUCCUUAUAAUUCAAAAUGUCUUCAUAGCUUAUGUCCAGUGCCUUAUUGUCCUAUGUAAGUAGUAAAACAGAAACAACAAUGAACAGACAAAAUUUGUUAAUUAUUAAUAUCGCGGACUUGAAGACUAGGGAUCUUUUCUAGAAGGUAUGCCUACAUUGUUCAUUAUUAGAAAGCACAGAUUCAAGUUUCCCCUUAGCUCCAUUCCAUAUUCUGCCUCUACC